Molecule: ribosomal RNA, 253 nt
Filed under: uncultured bacterium
Lineage: Bacteria
Description: partial 16S ribosomal RNA
Rfam family: Bacterial small subunit ribosomal RNA
Source: RNAcentral
GACGGCGGGUGCAAGCGUUGUUCGGAAUCACUGGGCGUAAAGCGCGUGUAGGCGGUUCGAUAAGUCGAAUGUGAAAGCCCGAGGCUCAACCUCGGAAGUGCAUUCGAAACUGUAGGGCUUGAGUACGGGAGAGGGAAGUGGACUUCCUGGUGUAGAGGUGAAAUUCGUAGAUAUCAGGAGGAACACCGGUGGCGAAGGCGGCUUCCUGGACCGAUACUGACGCUGAGACGCGAAAGCGUGGGGAGCAAACAGG